ACUGGCAGGCUUGAGUCUUGUAGAGGGGGGUAGAAUUCCAGGUGUAGCGGUGAAAUGCGUAGAGAUCUGGAGGAAUACCGGUGGCGAAGGCGGCCCCCUGGACAAAGACUGACGCUCAGGUGCGAAAGCGUGGGGAGCAAACAGGAUUAGAUACCCUGGUAGUCCACGCCGUAAACGAUGUCUACUUGGAGGUUGUGCCCUUGAGGCGUGGCUUCCGGAGCUAACGCGUUAAGUAGACCGCCUGGGGAGUACGGCCGCAAGGUUAAAACUCAAAUGAAUUGACGGGGGCCCGCACAAGCGGUGGAGCAUGUGGUUUAAUUCGAUGCAACGCGAAGAACCUUACCUGGUCUUGACAUCCACAGAACUUUCCAGAGAUGGAUUGGUGCCUUCGGGAACUGUGAGACAGGUGCUGCAUGGCUGUCGUCAGCUCGUGUUGUGAAAUGUUGGGUUAAGUCCCGCAACGAGCGCAAC
This 471-nucleotide ribosomal RNA is filed under the name Salmonella enterica. RNAcentral describes it as "bacterial SSU rRNA". It matches the Rfam family "Bacterial small subunit ribosomal RNA", at positions 632 to 1102 of the family's 1533-position model. The record is from RNAcentral. RNAcentral also lists the same sequence under 3 other names. Lineage: Bacteria; Pseudomonadati; Pseudomonadota; Gammaproteobacteria; Enterobacterales; Enterobacteriaceae.